Molecule: long non-coding RNA, 847 nt
Filed under: Brassica napus (rape)
Lineage: Eukaryota; Viridiplantae; Streptophyta; Magnoliopsida; Brassicales; Brassicaceae
Description: long non-coding RNA (BNAP_LNC000124)
Source: RNAcentral
CAUUGUAGGUUAUAAUAAAAAUGCUGAAUCUGAAGGUGUCAAACAAGAUGCUAAAUUAAUGAAUGCUUCUGAAAUCGGUAAGAGGUUCUUCACAUCCUACUCUUUUUCUCUUGGGUACAAUUUUUUUUAGUAAUUAAAGCUUUUUAAUGUGUGUUCAGUCCAGGUUCUACGAAUUGGGAAGAGGUGGAAGAGUUUCAAAGCCAGAUGUAAGGUAACUCUGUCUAUAUAUGUGUUAUUAGAAACCAUGGACCGUUUGCUUGGAGUGAUAUUUUUCAAGAACAUUAGUAUCUAAAGAGUUUUUUGGCGCAUCUAUAUAUUAACCGUUUCCCCCACGAACUAACAUUAACGUUGUGGCCAUACAAGUCCAUGCUGUUUCCUGAGAAAGCCCCCCCAAGAACAUUAGUGAUGAUUUCUGUUUCCUGAGAAAGUCCAUGCUAAAUGUAGGACAAACAUCAACGUUGUGGCCAUACAAGUUUCCUCAGUUAAUUAUUUGUUUAUCUGGUAGAGCAGCAGUGUAACCACAACAUAUGGUGUGGCACUGAAAAUAUGUAGUAUGACCCCAGAAGGAAUAAUGAGACAAUCUUUUCGACCUUACAAUUUACAAAUAAGAAAUUGGGACCAUUGAGUUCUCUAUGCCAUUGAGCUCUAUAUAUAGUAAGUGUAAGGUAACUCUGUCUAUAUAUGUGUUAUUAGAAACCAUGGACCGUUUGCUUGGAGUGAUAUUUUUCAAGAACAUUAGUAUCUAAAGAGUUUUUUGGCGCAUCUAUAUAUUAACCGUUUCCCCCACGAACUAACAUUAACGUUGUGGCCAUACAAGUCCAUGCUGUUUCCUGAGAAAGCCCCCCCA